This 72-nucleotide transfer RNA is filed under the name Labedaea rhizosphaerae. RNAcentral describes it as "Labedella sp. RS-49 tRNA". It matches the Rfam family "tRNA". Rfam says of the family: Transfer RNA (tRNA) molecules are approximately 80 nucleotides in length. Their secondary structure includes four short double-helical elements and three loops (D, anti-codon, and T loops). Lineage: Bacteria; Bacillati; Actinomycetota; Actinomycetes; Pseudonocardiales; Pseudonocardiaceae. The record is from Rfam by way of RNAcentral.
GCCCCUGUGGUCCAACGGACACGACUCCGCUCUCCGAAGGCGGCAAUGCAGGUUCGACUCCUGCUGGGGGCA